This 34-nucleotide transfer RNA is filed under the name Chromatomyia horticola (garden pea leafminer). Its description in RNAcentral is "partial tRNA-Leu". Lineage: Eukaryota; Metazoa; Arthropoda; Insecta; Diptera; Agromyzidae. The record is from RNAcentral.
UUCUAAUAUGGCAGAUUAGUGCAAUGGAUUUAAG